UAUCUCUGUAGAGUCUGCAUAUCAAUAAGCGGAGGAAAAGAAACUAACUAGGAUUCCCUCAGUAACGGCGAGGUGAAGCGGGAAGAGCUCAAAUUUGAAAUCUUCAAGGUUCUACCUUGACGAAUUGUAGUUUAAAGAAGUGUUUUCUGUUGGAGUUUUGGUAAAAGUUCUUUGGAAUAGGACAUCAUAGAGGGUGAGAAUCCCGUAUUUGACCAUUAUUUCCAGCUUUGUGAUACACUUUCAAAGAGUCGGAUUGUUUGGGAAUGCAGUCCAAAAUGGGUGGUAAAUUUCAUCCAAAGCUAAAUAUUGGCGAGAGACCGAUAGCGAACAAGUACCGUGAGGGAAAGAUGAAAAGAACUUUGAAAAGAGAGUUAAACAGUACGUGAAAUUGUCAAAAGGGAAGCGUUUGACACCAGUGUUGUUUUCUCGAAAAUCAAUUAAAAAAGGCAGGAUUUUGUGUUGUAUUGACUUUAUCAGCUUUCUGCACUCUUUUCUUGUCUUUUUUAAUGCACUUUUCGUUUAACAAGUCAACAUCAAUUUCUUUUGUUGUAAAAGGGUCAUUGGAAGGUGGCUUUCUUUUCGGAGAAAGUGUUUAUAGCCUUUGGCCUCUGCAAUCGGAGAGAUUGAGGUCUGCAGCGUAGAUCCUUCGGGGUUAGAUACAUUUGUGCUAAGUUAUAGCCUUUCAUAGACAACUUGUUGACUAUGAUCAGUCAUGUAGCUUACUCGCUUAUGCUAUUUUACCUACGCUUAGGAUGUUGACGAUCAGCUGAGCGCG
Molecule: ribosomal RNA, 775 nt
Filed under: uncultured Neocallimastigales
Lineage: Eukaryota; Fungi; Neocallimastigomycota; Neocallimastigomycetes; Neocallimastigales
Description: partial large subunit ribosomal RNA
Rfam family: Eukaryotic large subunit ribosomal RNA
Source: RNAcentral